AUGGCAAGCGAGGCAAACAUUUGGACACUUCUUGUAUCUGGAGGCUACUCCCAUUGGGUCUUCGGGGUGAAGAAGCACACCUCAAGAGUUGCUGUGUGGCAAGAAUCCAGCACUGCCCGCACCCUAAGCUUCUGGUAUUUCCUAUCUGCAAAAGCCACGGGGUCCAUUCAGUCCUCAUUAAGGCACCAGCGAGGGGCUCCCAGCGUGCACUGGGCUCGAGCGCGGUCCCCCGGACUGACGGCCAGCCGACCCUGCGGACAGACGGGCCACAAAGCAUGUCGCCCUGCGCCUGCUGAACCGCGAGCGCCCGAGGAUGUCAGCGCUGAGGAAGGUCUGUAUGAGCUGUUGGCUGUUGUGCCAGGCCGGCUGGGGCCACGUGUGGACAGCCAGGAAGACCUGACCUUCCUCUGGGAUAUGUUUGGUGAGAAAAGCCUGCAUUCACCGGUAAAGAAGUUACUCGUCGAGCACCAUUUUCCUUUAGAUCUUCACAAUAUCCUGGGUAGCCUUAUGUUGUGAGGUGGAAGUCUCUACUCUUCUGUGGGUCAGAAAACCUAAUUUGC
This is a long non-coding RNA of Canis lupus familiaris (dog), 560 nucleotides long. RefSeq lists it as uncharacterized. Lineage: Eukaryota; Metazoa; Chordata; Mammalia; Carnivora; Canidae. The transcript has 7 exons. The record is from RefSeq and is a predicted model, not a curated record.